Long non-coding RNA from Etheostoma cragini (Arkansas darter), 123 nucleotides. RefSeq lists it as uncharacterized. The transcript has 3 exons. Lineage: Eukaryota; Metazoa; Chordata; Actinopteri; Perciformes; Percidae. The record is from RefSeq and is a predicted model, not a curated record.
AGGAACAUAAUAGGUUUUUUGAACAUCAAAGCAUGUAAACAUAUUCUUGUAGACCCAAGAGUACAAAUAUGAUGCUGGAAAGGAGUAUAAUAGGAGCUCUUUACAAAAUUAAUAACGUGACAC